Mobula hypostoma (lesser devil ray) is the source of this 3047-nucleotide RNA transcript. RefSeq lists it as uncharacterized. The transcript has 7 exons. NCBI's taxonomy places the organism in Eukaryota, Metazoa, Chordata, Chondrichthyes, Myliobatiformes, Myliobatidae. The record is from RefSeq and is a predicted model, not a curated record.
AAAACAAUUUAAUUUUUUUGUUAACAAUCUGUCAUUGUUUAGGGCCAAGAGGCUUUAAUUUUUUUUAAAUAAUGACUGAUUCUCUUAAACAUAAAUCUAGUGAGAACGCUCAGGUAAAAUGCAAUGGAUAUUGUACAGUUUGAAAGAAGAGUGAAGUUAUUCCAUGUAUCCUGGCCGGUAUUUAUCUCAGCUCAAAAAUAAAUUACCUGAUUAUUAUAACUGUGGGAGGAAAUUAGCAGUGGUGGGAAUCGAACACGAGCUGCUGUACUGUAAAGCCUUGUGCUAAACAUUACACUAUCAUGAUACUACCCAGAGAUUCAUUUUCUUGCGGGCAUUCGAAUGAGACACAGACACAAUAGAAUCUGAAAAGCACAAAGGACAAACAACCAAUGGGAGAAACCGAUUGUCGCGAUUCUGUUUAUCCACACUAGCAAAAUAGUACAUGUCUGAAAUAAAAAUGCGGGAUUUGAAAUAAAGUGCGAAAAUAUUGGAAAUACUUGGUUCCUCCAGCCCUACAGAGAGGUAGCAUUUGUUUGAACACGUGCACGUAAAGGGUAGUGUUACCAGCAUGUGCAGUUUUGUUUACAUUUUCAGUAUCGUGGAUGAUUUUUCAGCUGACUUAUUUGAUGUAGUUGAGUUCAUUUAAGUGUAUUAACCUUUCGGGAUGAUAAUAUUGAUGUUAACAUUUUUGCAGCAUUGACGUGCGGGUCAAGCAUGACGUUGGGCGCCGCCUCCAGCUGGCGCUUUCGCCGCUGCGCCGGACUUGAUGCUGACAAUCGUGACGCUCUGUAAUGUUCAGAUGUCUUCCUAUCAAGUUUCCUCAUAGGUUGAGCCCGAGGCUGAUUAUCGACACUACCAAUCAGUUUGUCUGAUGCUCUGGGGGCCGAGGGCGCCCAGGCCUCCUCUGAUCCCUCAUCCCCCCUUCUCCCCUUUCUCUCUCUAGUCCUUCUGCUGCUCUCAGCAGUAUGUCCGGCUCCAUAUUGAGAGCAUCUAUCAAAGCCGUGAGCGCCAGGAGACGCCUGGUUCCGACCAGGGCAGCGCUAACGCUGACCCCUCUGGCUGUUAAUAAAAUUAAGCAACUGCUUCGGGAAAAGCCUGAAUAUAUUGGGUUGAAGAUUGGAGUGCGAACCAGAGGGUGUAAUGGUCUGUCCUAUACUUUGGAAUACACAAAGGAAAAAAGAGAUUCAGAUGAAGAAGUAAUCCAGGAUGGUGUUCGAAUAUUCAUUGAAAAGAAAGCGCAGUUGACACUCCUAGGAACAGAAAUGGACUACACAGAAAAUAAACUUGCAAGUGAAUUUGUCUUUCACAAUCCAAAUAUAAAAGGAACCUGUGGUUGUGGAGAAAGUUUUCAUGUUUAAUGGGAACCAACAAUUUGCUUGAACAUUAUUGUGGGCGUCGUGUGUGGUGAGGCACUGAUAUUCCAUUUUAGGCCAUUGAGUGUAGCUGAAUCUAUAUUGUAACUUCAAGGGAGAAGAAACUGAAAUUGCAUCCCUGAUGGUAUGUAGCCACUAACAAUGGAUCUUUCUCCUGAGGGGAAAUUUUGCACAAGGAGUUAUUGUGUUGAAUAAGAUACUAUUUUUUUGUUCAAUUGUCAAACCAUGGGUAGUGUUAACUUUAUUAACUGUGCAAUGAGUGAAAUGCCUGGAUCAGAUAAAUACAACUGCUUUUCAUCUGAAAAAAAGAAAAUGUUGUAUUUGGUAUUAUCAAAUGUACACUGUCAAAGUCAGAUAUUUGGAAAAGUAGAAUUGGUUUAUCAUUGAACUUUAUUAAUGUAGAUUCUGAAUUACUCAUAGGCUGCAACUAGCUCCAUGUUGCUGUUCCUUUUUCAAGCUCCACAAGUCAUUUUUUCUUUUUAUAGAAGGAGAUUUAUUUGGUAACAAAGCCUAAAGUUCACUUUUUUUUAAGAUCCUGGUACAAAAGUCUCCAGACCGUUAAUGCCAUUUGGAAAUUUCGCUCUCCACUACCAACUACUAAGAAUGUGCAAGAAUAUAAAGUUGAUGUUGGAACCCAAAUGGAGUAUCUAUGUUGUACUUUGCCUGCACGACAUCGCCACCAAAUCAAAAUUCAAGAUUGUUCGUAGAAGAUGUCUGAGUUGUUCAGAACUGGAUCAUUUCAGUUUUUUAAAAAUCAGGAACGGCUAAUUACUGAAUACUUGGAGAAUUUUGGAAUGAAGGAAAAUGAAGAGGAAGAAAGCAACAAAGAGAACACAGAAACUGAAUAUUCUUCGUUUAGGGUGUCAGAGUUAUUACUUGCCAUUGAACGGUUAACUGCAGGACAACCAAAGCCUUACAGUGAACAGAAACGUGCAGGAAAAGUAACAAAAGGAGAAAAGGUCCUGCUACUCACGACAGAGAAACAAACUACCCAUCAGAGUCAACUUACCAAAGAUGAAAAAUCACUGGGAAACAGAACUAUUGGAAUUACUUCACCCAAAAGAACUAUACUUAUAAAGUGCCCUCCACGAAGCACUUUUGAAUGCAACAUGACCAGACUCAAAAUGUAUAAAAAUCCACAGGCCACACAAAAACCCAAACUGCAAUAUGACUGGCUCACAAAACUUGAUAACCAAUUUGAUCACGGGAUUAAGCAAUCAAAGAAAAAAUCUAUGGUACGUGAACACACGCCACAAUCCCUCUCAAUGCUAUUUUCACAAAAAAAAAUGAAGAAAAGAAGGGUAUCACUUGACAAAACAUAUCCAGUUCGAAGCUCUGUAUUAAACAGCAAAUCAUCUUCAUUCCAUCUACACAUUCAACGGUCAACACUAGCAGGAGCACCACGCCAUGAACCAUUUAUUGAUUUAGAAGAUUUGCAGAUGAAGCUAUUCAAAAAAUCUUUGAACAAAAGAGCUUCUGAAAUGGUAGCAGAAAAACAUAAAUGUGUAUUACAACCCAUACCAAUAGGGAGACAGGAUAAAGAAGCUCUUCCUGUUCCUUUGAUUUGUAAAGGCAAUAAAUAUAUAGAAAAGUUCUAGAGUACACAUUUCAUCUGAUCCCUUUCAUUUUAUUUGAUCAAAUAAUAAACUAUAGUUCUUUGAAAAUCUGAAUUGU